This 572-nucleotide long non-coding RNA is filed under the name Piliocolobus tephrosceles (Ugandan red Colobus). RNAcentral describes it as "lncRNA (ENSPTEG00000005738.1)". The record is from RNAcentral. Lineage: Eukaryota; Metazoa; Chordata; Mammalia; Primates; Cercopithecidae.
UAUAAUGAUUUUUUGAUUCGGCAAACGUUUUUNNNNNNNNNNAAAAAAAAAAAUGGAAGCAAUGAUAAAAGAAAUAUUAUAUAUAACUUUUAUAUAACCUACGACAAACUGUUUACUUUUGUCGGAUCACUAGAUAAUAACCUUUCUAUUCUUAAAUCAUUUGAUAAAAAGUUUAUCAAAAUAAUAUUAAAAAAGGAAAACACCUUUUUUAUUAUACUAAAUGACAUAAUAUGCGUAAAAAUAGUUGCUGAUGGAUUAAGCUUAAAAGUGAAAAGGAUAACAGCCUUGCAAAAUAUUUCGAUAAAUUUUAAUUAUUAUACUUAUUUUAUCAAGUGUGUGUGCAGAAACAAUUUCUUAUUUCUGUUAACUCUCACACCUCAACAAUAUUUGAUAAUUUUUAAGAAAGGAAUUCCUUAUUUGGCCAUUAAUAUCAAUGAGCAUGUACUCACGUUCUUUACCAAUUUUGAAGUUAACCAUGAUUCGUCAAAAGUGUUGCUAAUUGAUUUUCGCAACCAAGUUUGGUUUUUUGAUUUGAAAAUGUAAGUGAAAAAGAAGAAAAAAAUAUUAGAUGU